RNAcentral lists this long non-coding RNA (200 nucleotides) under Elaeis guineensis (African oil palm). RNAcentral describes it as "long non-coding RNA (EGUI_LNC079931)". Lineage: Eukaryota; Viridiplantae; Streptophyta; Magnoliopsida; Arecales; Arecaceae. The record is from RNAcentral.
CUGGAGCGUAGUCCCAAGUGCCACACCAUAAUGGUCCCCCCAGCAGUCAGCCCUACACCACGGUGAGUGGGACACGUGGCGGGCAUUGGUUGGCCUAGGGAUAUCCGCCGCCAUGACUGUGCUAGGCCCCGUCGCUUAUUUAAACCCCCUCCUUCCCUCUAGGGACUUCAUUUUGCCUGAGAGUCCAGACGACGCCUUUC